UGUGUGACUGCGUACCUUUUGUAUAAUGGGUCAGCGACUUAUAUUCUGUAGCAAGGUUAACCGAAUAGGGGAGCCGGAGGGAAACCGAGUCUUAAUUGGGCGUUAAGUUGCAGGGUAUAGACCCGAAACCCGGUGAUCUAGCCAUGGGCAGGUUGAAGGUUGGGUAACACUAACUGGAGGACCGAACCGACUAAUGUUGAAAAAUUAGCGGAUGACCUGUGGCUGGGGGUGAAAGGCCAAUCAAACCGGGAGAUAGCUGGUUCUCCCCGAAAGCUAUUUAGGUAGCGCCUCGUGAAUUCAUCUCCGGGGGUAGAGCACUGUUUCGGCUAGGGGGCCAUCCCGGCUUACCAACCCGAUGCAAACUGCGAAUACCGGAGAAUGUUAUCACGGGAGACACACGGCGGGUGCUAACGUCCGUCGUGAAGAGGGAAACAACCCAGACCGCCAGCUAAGGUCCCAAAGUCAUGGUUAAGUGGGAAACGAUGUGGGAAGGCCCAGACAGCCAGGAUGUUGGCUUAGAAGCAGCCAUCAUUUAAAGAAAGCGUAAUAGCUCACUGGUCGAGUCGGCCUGCGCGGAAGAUGUAACGGGGCUAAACCAUG
This 600-nucleotide ribosomal RNA is filed under the name Salmonella enterica. Its description in RNAcentral is "partial 23S ribosomal RNA". It matches the Rfam family "Bacterial large subunit ribosomal RNA", at positions 590 to 1191 of the family's 2925-position model. The record is from RNAcentral. Lineage: Bacteria; Pseudomonadati; Pseudomonadota; Gammaproteobacteria; Enterobacterales; Enterobacteriaceae. RNAcentral also lists the same sequence under 2 other names.